Molecule: long non-coding RNA, 487 nt
Organism: Xenia sp. Carnegie-2017
Lineage: Eukaryota; Metazoa; Cnidaria; Anthozoa; Malacalcyonacea; Xeniidae
Exons: 2
Source: RefSeq, a predicted model, not a curated record
AUAAGACAGGAAGAACUUCAAGGCCGAGACCAUGGGCAAGUAAAACAGAACGAACGAAUAAAUGAAAACAAAGCGUAGCGAAACUUUUCACUUUGUCUAAAAUUGGAGCAUUCACCCCACGAUUAUUACCAGCAGAAAUGUUAGAGAGGAACCGAAACUAACAACGGGGAAUGACAAUGAAGCGCAAUUGAAACAAUAAAGGGAAUGAGCAGGGUGAGAUCAGGGAUCGGCAGUGGGUGGCAUUCAUACCCAUUUCGACACAUAACACAUAUAAGGCAUAUCAGUACUUAAUAACUUUUUCCUUUUCGGCCCAAUGGUUCGGCCGAGUAUAGUACCAGCAAAUCAUUAAUAGCUUAAAUACUCUUAAGAAUAUUAUAUAAAUAAGUAAUGGCUUCAAUAAAAUACGUAAAUGCGCGCAUACUUCAGACACUGUAUCCCGCUGACAGUGACGUUGGCGUAAUAAAUAAAGAACGUACUAUACUGAUAA